This 571-nucleotide ribosomal RNA is filed under the name Escherichia coli. RNAcentral describes it as "partial 23S ribosomal RNA". It matches the Rfam family "Bacterial large subunit ribosomal RNA", at positions 1 to 600 of the family's 2925-position model. Lineage: Bacteria; Pseudomonadati; Pseudomonadota; Gammaproteobacteria; Enterobacterales; Enterobacteriaceae. The record is from RNAcentral.
GGGUUGUGAGGUUAAGCGACUAAGCGUACACGGUGGAUGCCCUGGCAGUCAGAGGCGAUGAAGGACGUGCUAAUCUGCGAUAAGCGUCGGUAAGGUGAUAUGAACCGUUAUAACCGGCGAUUUCCGAAUGGGGAAACCCAGUGUGAUUCGUCACACUAUCAUUAACUGAAUCCAUAGGUUAAUGAGGCGAACCGGGGGAACUGAAACAUCUAAGUACCCCGAGGAAAAGAAAUCAACCGAGAUUCCCCCAGUAGCGGCGAGCGAACGGGGAGGAGCCCAGAGCCUGAAUCAGUGUGUGUGUUAGUGGAAGCGUCUGGAAAGGCGCGCGAUACAGGGUGACAGCCCCGUACACAAAAAUGCACAUGCUGUGAGCUCGAUGAGUAGGGCGGGACACGUGGUAUCCUGUCUGAAUAUGGGGGGACCAUCCUCCAAGGCUAAAUACUCCUGACUGACCGAUAGUGAACCAGUACCGUGAGGGAAAGGCGAAAAGAACCCCGGCGAGGGGAGUGAAAAAGAACCUGAAACCGUGUACGUACAAGCAGUGGGAGCACAGAGCAAUCUGUGUGACUGC